UUUGCCUACGGGACGCAGCAGUAGGGAAUCUUCCACAAUGGACGAAAGUCUGAUGGAGCAACGCCGCGUGAGUGAAGAAGGGUUUCGGCUCGGAAAGCUCUGUUGGGAGUGAAGAAAGAUAGAGGUAGUAACUUGCCUUUAUUUGACGGUAAUUACUUAGAAAGUCACGGCUAACUACGUGCCAGCAGCCGCGGUAAUACGGAGGUGGCAAGCGUUUUCCGGAUUUAUUGGGCGUAAAACGA
RNAcentral lists this ribosomal RNA (242 nucleotides) under uncultured bacterium. RNAcentral describes it as "partial 16S ribosomal RNA". It matches the Rfam family "Bacterial small subunit ribosomal RNA", at positions 334 to 568 of the family's 1533-position model. The record is from RNAcentral.